UGUUAAAAAAAUUAUCAAUUUCUGUUAUUAAAAGCUGGCAUGGUUGAUAGAAUAAUCAAACAGUGAUGUGUCACAUGUAGCUCAUGCUAAUAUACAAGAACUCAAUUUUUAACAGUAAAUAUGUAUGAAAUUUGUAAUA
This 139-nucleotide microRNA precursor is filed under the name Gossypium hirsutum (cotton). Its description in RNAcentral is "MIR7502 microRNA precursor family". It matches the Rfam family "MIR7502 microRNA precursor family". The record is from Rfam by way of RNAcentral. Lineage: Eukaryota; Viridiplantae; Streptophyta; Magnoliopsida; Malvales; Malvaceae.